This 427-nucleotide ribosomal RNA is filed under the name uncultured bacterium. RNAcentral's name for it is "partial 16S ribosomal RNA". It matches the Rfam family "Bacterial small subunit ribosomal RNA", at positions 355 to 774 of the family's 1533-position model. The record is from RNAcentral.
UGGGGAAUAUUGGACAAUGGGCGAAAGCCUGAUCCAGCCAUGCCGCGUGUGUGAAGAAGGUCUUCGGAUUGUAAAGCACUUUAAGUUGGGAGGAAGGGCAGUAAGCUAAUACCUUGCUGUUUUGACGUUACCGACAGAAUAAGCACCGGCUAACUCUGUGCCAGCAGCCGCGGUAAUACAGAGGGUGCAAGCGUUAAUCGGAAUUACUGGGCGUAAAGCGCGCGUAGGUGGUUUGUUAAGUUGGAUGUGAAAGCCCCGGGCUCAACCUGGGAACUGCAUCCAAAACUGGCAAGCUAGAGUACGGUAGAGGGUGUUGGAAUUUCCUGUGUAGCGGUGAAAUGCGUAGAUAUAGGAAGGAACACCAGUGGCGAAGGCGGCCACCUGGACUGAUACUGACACUGAGGUGCGAAAGCGUGGGGAGCAAACA